GACGAACGCUGGCGGCGUGCUUAACACAUGCAAGUCGAACGCUGAAGCUCAGCUUUUGUUGGGUGGAUGAGUGGCGAACGGGUGAGUAACACGUGAGUAACCUGCCCCCUUCUUUGGGAUAACGCCCGGAAACGGGUGCUAAUACUGGAUAUUCACUGGUCUUCGCAUGGGGGUUGGUGGAAAGGGUUUUUCUGGUGGGGGAUGGGCUCGCGGCCUAUCAGCUUGUUGGUGGGGUGAUGGCCUACCAAGGCUUUGACGGGUAGCCGGCCUGAGAGGGUGACCGGUCACAUUGGGACUGAGAUACGGCCCAGACUCCUACGGGAGGCAGCAGUGGGGAAUAUUGCACAAUGGGCGCAAGCCUGAUGCAGCGACGCCGCGUGAGGGAUGGAGGCCUUCGGGUUGUGAACCUCUUUCGCUCAUGGUCAAGCCGCAACAAUGGUUGUGGUGAGGGUAGUGGGUAAAGAAGCGCCGGCUAACUAC
Molecule: ribosomal RNA, 480 nt
Filed under: uncultured bacterium
Lineage: Bacteria
Description: partial 16S ribosomal RNA
Rfam family: Bacterial small subunit ribosomal RNA
Source: RNAcentral